GGAUAUGAGUAUAGCGGCGGACGGGUGAGUAACGCGUAGGAAUCUACCUAGUAGAAGGGGAUAGCCCGGGGAAACUCGGAUUAAUACCGUAUACCUCCUAAGGGAGAAAGAGGGCCUCUCUUGAUGCUCUCGCUAUUAGAUGAGCCUGCGUAAGAUUAGCUUGUUGGUAAGGUAAUGGCUUACCAAGGCUACGAUCUUUAGCUGGUCUGAGAGGACGAUCAGCCACAUUGGGACUGAGACACGGCCCAGACUCCUACGGGAGGCAGCAGUGGGGAAUAUUGGACAAUGGGCGCAAGCCUGAUCCAGCCAUACCGCGUGUGUGAAGAAGGCCUUCGGGUUGUAAAGCACUUUAAGCAGGGAGAAAAAGUUAUAAGUUAAUACCUUAUAACCGUGAUGUUACCUGCAGAAUAAGCACCGGCUAAUUCCGUGCCAGCAGCCGCGGUAAUACGGAAGGUGCAAGCGUUAAUCGGAAUUACUGGGCGUAAAGCGCGCGUAGGUGGUUUGUUAAGUUGGAUGUGAAAGCCCUGGGCUCAACCUAGGAACUGCAUCCAAAACUAACUCACUAGAGUACGAUAGAGGGAGGUAGAAUUCAUAGUGUAGCGGUGGAAUGCGUAGAUAUUAUGAAGAAUACCAGUGGCGAAGGCGGCCUCCUGGAUCUGUACUGACACUGAGGUGCGAAAGCGUGGGUAGCGAACAGGAUUAGAUACCCUGGNUAGUCCACGCCGUAAACGAUGACAACUAGCUGUUGGGAGACAAUGUCUUUCAGUGGCGCAGCUAACGUUUUAAGUUGUCCGCCUGGGGAGUACGGCCGCAAGGCUAAAACUCAAAUGAAUUGACGGGGACCCGCACAAGCGGUGGAGCAUGUGGUUUAAUUCGAUGCAACGCGAAAAACCUUACCUACUCUUGAC
Molecule: ribosomal RNA, 908 nt
Filed under: uncultured bacterium
Lineage: Bacteria
Description: bacterial SSU rRNA
Rfam family: Bacterial small subunit ribosomal RNA
Source: RNAcentral